RNAcentral lists this ribosomal RNA (465 nucleotides) under Vreelandella stevensii. RNAcentral describes it as "partial 16S ribosomal RNA". It matches the Rfam family "Bacterial small subunit ribosomal RNA", at positions 338 to 795 of the family's 1533-position model. The record is from RNAcentral. Lineage: Bacteria; Pseudomonadati; Pseudomonadota; Gammaproteobacteria; Oceanospirillales; Halomonadaceae.
CCUACGGGUGGCAGCAGUGGGGAAUAUUGGACAAUGGGGGGAACCCUGAUCCAGCCAUGCCGCGUGUGUGAAGAAGGCCCUCGGGUUGUAAAGCACUUUCAGUGAGGAAGAACGCCUGGUGGUUAAUACCCAUCAGGAAAGACAUCACUCACAGAAGAAGCACCGGCUAACUCCGUGCCAGCAGCCGCGGUAAUACGGAGGGUGCGAGCGUUAAUCGGAAUUACUGGGCGUAAAGCGCGCGUAGGUGGCUUGAUAAGCCGGUUGUGAAAGCCCCGGGCUCAACCUGGGAACGGCAUCCGGAACUGUCAAGCUAGAGUGCAGGAGAGGAAGGUAGAAUUCCCGGUGUAGCGGUGAAAUGCGUAGAGAUCGGGAGGAAUACCAGUGGCGAAGGCGGCCUUCUGGACCGACACUGACACUGAGGUGCGAAAGCGUGGGUAGCAAACAGGAUUAGAUACCCUGGUAGUC